This 76-nucleotide transfer RNA is filed under the name Novosphingobium sediminicola. RNAcentral's name for it is "tRNA-Lys". It matches the Rfam family "tRNA". Rfam says of the family: Transfer RNA (tRNA) molecules are approximately 80 nucleotides in length. The record is from RNAcentral. RNAcentral also lists the same sequence under 4 other names. Lineage: Bacteria; Pseudomonadati; Pseudomonadota; Alphaproteobacteria; Sphingomonadales; Sphingomonadaceae.
GGGCCCAUAGCUCAGUCGGUAGAGCAACUGACUUUUAAUCAGUAGGUCUCUGGUUCGAAUCCAGAUGGGCUCACCA